This is a non-coding RNA of Pseudohyphozyma bogoriensis, 86 nucleotides long. NCBI's taxonomy places the organism in Eukaryota, Fungi, Basidiomycota, Microbotryomycetes, Chrysozymaceae. The record is from the annotation of a GenBank genome assembly.
AGCAUCGUGGAGCAGUGGUAGCUCGUUGGGCUCAUAUCAAACGCAUAGGAACCCAAAGGUCCUCGGAUCGAAACCGAGCGAUGCUA